GAUGAACGCUGGCGGCGUGCCUAAUACAUGCAAGUCGAGCGAACGGACGAGAAGCUUGCUUCUCUGAUGUUAGCGGCGGACGGGUGAGUAACACGUGGAUAACCUACCUAUAAGACUGGGAUAACUUCGGGAAACCGGAGCUAAUACCGGAUGAUAUUUUGAACCGCAUGGUUCAAAAGUGAAAGACGGUCUUGCUGUCACUUAUAGAUGGAUCCGCGCUGCAUUAGCUAGUUGGUAAGGUAACGGCUUACCAAGGCAACGAUGCAUAGCCGACCUGAGAGGGUGAUCGGCCACACUGGAACUGAGACACGGUCCAGACUCCUACGGGAGGCAGCAGUAGGGAAUCUUCCGCAAUGGGCGAAAGCCUGACGGAGCAACGCCGCGUGAGUGAUGAAGGUCUUCGGAUCGUAAACCUCUGUUAUUAGGGAAGAACAUAUGUGUAAGUAACUGUGCACAUCUUGACGGUACCUAAUCAGAAAGCCACGGAUAACUACGUG
Molecule: ribosomal RNA, 497 nt
Filed under: uncultured bacterium
Lineage: Bacteria
Description: partial 16S ribosomal RNA
Rfam family: Bacterial small subunit ribosomal RNA
Source: RNAcentral